UCCAGAGGGGGCAAGCGUUAUUCGGAAUUAUUGGGCGUAAAGGGCGUGUAGGCGGCUUGGCAAGUGGAUGGUGAAAUCCCUCGGCUUAACCGAGGAACUGCCGUCCAAACUGCUUAGCUUGAGACCGGGAGAGGUGAGUGGAAUUCCCAGUGUAGCGGUGAAAUGCGUAGAUAUUGGGAGGAACACCAGUGGCGAAGGCGGCUCACUGGACCGGUACUGACGCUGAGGCGCGAAAGCGUGGGGAGCAAACGGG
Molecule: ribosomal RNA, 253 nt
Filed under: uncultured bacterium
Lineage: Bacteria
Description: partial 16S ribosomal RNA
Rfam family: Bacterial small subunit ribosomal RNA
Source: RNAcentral